AAUCGUAGCCCGGCGCGAGGCCUUGAACAGGAUAUUAAGUGGAAAUAAUGCUGUGGUUGUCAGGAAACGCCGAGUGCAGCCGCAUAGCUACUGCCAGUUGUGCAGCGAGGAUAUCCGGUGGCUGCGAGGUCUGUAAUUUAGAAUAAAAAGCUCUCCCAACACCCAAGAGGCUGACCUCAGCGCCGCGUGGCGGUAAUGCGCGCGGCACCCACGGUGGAGACCGUCCAAGUGGUGACAGGUGGGAGAGCUUCGUCGUCGCUUAGACCUUCAGAGACCCUGCAAAUGUGCCCACCUUCGGAAUCAAACUGCAAAAGUGAGCCAGUCAACUCAAUUGCAGUUGAAGUGUGUGGUCGCCUGCCCAUUUCCAACGUUCAUAAGCAGUUCUAGACUACGUGGUCACAUAGCAGCAGGUCAGAUGCUGGAGAAGGACAAACUGAACGACGGACACUCUCUUCCCAACACGAGACUGGGAACCUAAUCUCGCUGUCUGGAUGUAACUCUAAAUGUGGUUAAGCCAUCUGAUUUCUUUGCCAGGCUUAACAUUUGACAAAAGCAGACGUCCACAUGAAAAAGUCACUUUGCUUUGCCUAACUUGAA
Molecule: long non-coding RNA, 597 nt
Organism: Peromyscus maniculatus bairdii (prairie deer mouse)
Lineage: Eukaryota; Metazoa; Chordata; Mammalia; Rodentia; Cricetidae
Source: RefSeq, a predicted model, not a curated record